AUAUAUCAUCCGUGGGAAGCUCUAGAAUCUUAUUGAGCAUGAUGUUUCACCAGAUUUUAUAUUCAGCACCCUUUUUGAGGAACUGAAGAAACAUUUGGAUGAACAUCUGAAAGCCAAGGUUGAAUUCCUCUAUCAUAAAUACCAAUAUCAACAAGAUUCUGAUAAAUGGAAUGACUCGAAGAAGAACCUCCGUUACUUCAUGAGGAUCGAAGAAUUUACUGCUCAUUUUAAGAGUUUGUACAAGUCAUUCAUCACGAAGAGCGACACCGAACCCAAGCACUGAACAGGUAA
This is a long non-coding RNA of Zingiber officinale, 291 nucleotides long. RefSeq lists it as uncharacterized. Lineage: Eukaryota; Viridiplantae; Streptophyta; Magnoliopsida; Zingiberales; Zingiberaceae. The transcript has 4 exons. The record is from RefSeq and is a predicted model, not a curated record.